Molecule: ribosomal RNA, 769 nt
Filed under: uncultured bacterium
Lineage: Bacteria
Description: bacterial SSU rRNA
Rfam family: Bacterial small subunit ribosomal RNA
Source: RNAcentral
AGAGUUUGAUCAUGGCUCAGGACGAACGCUGGCGGCGUGCCUAACACAUGCAAGUCAAGGGGCUGUUUGUAGCAAUACGUACAGUCACUGGCGCACGGGUGAGUAACGCGUAGAUCAUCUGCCCUCAACUCAGGCAUAACAUCUCUAACGAUUUGCUAAUACCUGAUGAGGAGGAAGCUCCAAAGUAACGGUUGAGGAUGAGUCUGCGUCUGAUUAGCUAGUUGGUAAGGUAACGGCUUACCAAGGCGACGAUCAGUAGCUGGUCUGAGAGGACGAACAGCCACACUGGAACUGAGACACGGUCCAGACUCCUACGGGAGGCAGCAGUGAGGAAUAUUGGUCAAUGGUUUAACAACUGAACCAGCGACGCCGCGUGUGGGAUGACGGGGCUAUGCCUUGUAAACCACUGUCGGAUGGGACGAAAACCCCGCUACGCGGGGCCGGACGGUACCAUCAAAGGAAGGGUCGGCUAACUACGUGCCAGCAGCCGCGGUAAUACGUAGGACCCGAGCGUUGUCCGGAUUUACUGGGUGUAAAGGGUGCGUAGGCGGACAGGUGCGUCAGAGGUGAAAUUUCCCGGCUUAACUGGGAGGAUGCCUUUGAUACGGCUUGUCUUGAGUGCGAAAGAGGAUGAUGGAAUUCCUGGUGUAGCGGUGAAAUGCGUAGAUAUCAGGAGGAACACCAGUGGCGAAAGCGGUCAUCUGGUUCGCAACUGACGCUGAGGCACGAAAGCGUGGGGAUCAAACAGGAUUAGAUACCCUAGUAGUCC